This 26-nucleotide non-coding RNA is filed under the name Homo sapiens (human). The record is from RNAcentral. Lineage: Eukaryota; Metazoa; Chordata; Mammalia; Primates; Hominidae.
UGAUCGACAUCCCGGAGUGACCGUGA